AGUUCCAUAGCUUAGGGGUUAAAGCACUGGUCUUGUAAACCAAGGAUCACGAGUUCAUAUCUCUCUGGGGCCU
RNAcentral lists this transfer RNA (73 nucleotides) under Anolis carolinensis (green anole). It matches the Rfam family "tRNA". Rfam says of the family: Transfer RNA (tRNA) molecules are approximately 80 nucleotides in length. Lineage: Eukaryota; Metazoa; Chordata; Lepidosauria; Squamata; Anolidae. The record is from Rfam by way of RNAcentral.